AACGAAGUGAAUUGAAAUAUCUUAGUAACUUUAGGAAAAGAAAUCAAACGAGAUUCUAUGAGUAGUGUGAAUGAAAGUAGAAAAGCCUAUAUAAAUAUCAGAAUAUAAUAUGCAUAAACAUAUUGUAAUAAUUAAUAUUAAUAGUAGUAUUACUAGAAUUAUAUUUUAUAUAUAAAAUCUGAUUCACUGAUUAUUAAUAAGUAAAACGGGCAUAACCUGUUUGAAAAUAGGGGAACCUUCCUCUAAGGCUAAAUAUAAUAUAUAAGCGAUAGCGCAUAGUACUGUGAAGGAAAGGAUUGAAAUAGUAGUUUUAUAAGCAGCUUGAGUAAAUAUAAAUUACAAAAGCGUACCUUUUGCAUAAUGGGUUGCCUAGAUAAAGCAAUUAUGAAAAAAUGAGUUAGUAUCUAAAAUUAGACCCGAAGCCUAGUGAUCUUACCAUAGUCAGGGUUAUAAAAGCCCGAACGGGUUAUAUCGUUGUAAAGAUAUCCGAUGAACUAUGGUAAGUUAGUGAAAGACAAUACUGACUAGGAUAGCUGGUUUUCUGCGAAACCUAUAUAAGUAGGUCAUUCAAGAUACAUCAUAGCAGGUACAGAACUGUGAUCUCAGGCAACUUUUUUUUAUACUGUUAAAAAUUUUGCAUACAUCGGGGAAUCGUGAAGAUUUUAUCGGUGAGUAUUUGCACUCGGAAGGGCAAUGAUGAGUAUUGAAUAAUCGGACAUAGUACGAUAAGGUUGUAUGUCUAAAGGGAAACAGCCCAGAACAAGAGUUAAGGUUCCAAAAUUAUUAUUAAGUGAAAAUAAGGAAGUUUCUAUCAAAUACAACUAGGAAAUAGGCUUAGAAGCUGCCAUUUUUUGAAGACCUCGUAACAGAGCACUGGUUCAGUAAAAUUUUACACGCGUAAAUAUACGUGUCUGAUAGUUGCACCAAAAAUUUAACGGAUCUAAAUAAUAUACCGAUACCUUGUCCAUAUAUAUUAAUAAUAAUUUAUUAUGUAUAAUGGGGUAGCAGAACGUUGGGUAGAUAUUAGAGAUACUCUUUUUAAGAGUAAUAAUAAGAUAACCCAAGUGAGAAUGCUGACAUGAGUAACGAAAAAGGGAUAAAACCCUCGCCUUAAGCUUAUGGAUUUUUAUCAAGUAACGGCCUCUAAGUUUACCAACCUAAAGGAUUAAACGAUGAGCAAAUCUUGUCUACAAAGUGACAACCUUUUUUCUUAUAUAAUAUAAGAAAAGUGAAAAAGGUUCUGGAAAAACAGUAAAAAGCUUUAAAACUUGUCUAAUAAACCAGGUUUAAAGUUGACAAAAAACCGUACCUAGAAACUACCACAAGUAAGCAAGUAGAGAAUACGAAGGCGUUUGAGCGAACAAUCAUUAAGGAACUCGGCAAAUUAACUACCGUAACUUCGGGAUAAGGAGAGCCAUUCCUCCUGAUUAAUAUCAGGUAAAGAAUAGGAAGCAUAGAAUAGUGUUGUACGACUGUUUAAUUAAAACAAAGCACUCUGCAUUAAGAUAAUAAAUCAAAGUAUUGAGUGUGAUUUCUGCCCGAUGUCGGCUGGUUAACGGAUUUGCUUAGUUGACUAAUAUAAGCUUGGCUUUGAAGGAAACCCCGAUCAAUGGCGGCCUUACCUAUGAGGGUCCUAAGGUAGCGGAAUACCCUGGCCGUUAAAUGCGGUCUUGCAUGAAUGAAUGAUUUAACGAUACAACAGCUGUCUCAAUGAUUGGCUCAGUGAAAUUGGAAUAACUGUGCAGAUACAGUUUACCUCUAGUUAGACGAGAAGACCCUAUGCAGCUUUACUGUUGCUAGUUAUUGAAUAUGAUUUAACAAAUUUUAGCGUAUAAGGUAAUCGACAGAUAAAAUUGAAACACCUUUAUUUAGUUUGUCAUAUUGGUAGGUCAUAAUACUUACUUCAAGAUAUAUUUGUAUACAAAUAUAUAUUGAGUUACCCUAAUACAGGGAACAAUUGCUAGGAGGCAGUUUAUGCGGGGCACAGAUCCCAUAAAAAGUACCUGGGUGUAUCCAAAGUUAUUUUUGUAAAAUUGUCGUAAUUUACUUAUGACAAAUUAAUAUAUGAAUUUUUUUUAUGUAUUUAUAUUUUUAGUAUGUUAUUUGGUAUAGCUUAGGCUAGAACUAAUCCAGUUAUAUAUCUAUUAAGUUAGAGUUAUUUUUUUUUAUUUAAGUAAGAUUUUAACUAUAUGGAAAAUAGAUGUAAUUAAAAUAUUAUGAGUAAUUCUAAUAUUUUUAGUUAUUUUAUUAGUAUGUUUAUAUAUAAACAUAAGUAGAAGAACCAAUAAAGUAAUUAUGUGUAUUACUUUUCAAGUUUAAUGGCUUAAUCUUGCUUUACUGUUUGACUUACACGUCUAUCAGUCGCGUAAGCGGGGCAUAUGAUCACAAGACGCAGAAAGGAAAGGUCUUGGAUAACAGGCUAAUUGCGCCAGGAAGUACAAAUUGAGUGCGCAGUUUGGCACCUCGAUGUCGGCUUAACUUAUCCACAUGAAUGCAGGAAUCAUGAAGGGUUCGACUGUUCGUCGAUUAAAAAGUUACACGAGCUGGGUUAAAUAAAUACGUCGUGAGACAGUAUGGUUUCUAUCUUCUAGAGGGAAUUAGAAUAAAAUAAAGAUAGCCCCCUCGUACGAAAGGAGCUGGGUAUAUUAACCUCUGGUUUACCUGUUGUUUAUGUUCCCAAUAUUAAUUUAAGUAUAAUUAAAAUUAUACAGGGAUGUUACUUUCACUUAAGUAAUUUAUAGCAUAGGCACGGCAGGAAAGCUAUGUUAGUUAAAGAUAAGUGCUGAAAGCAUAUAGGCGCGAAACUUACUUUAGGAUAUUCUUAAAUAUACGUAGCAGAAUACUACGA
RNAcentral lists this ribosomal RNA (2848 nucleotides) under Scytalidium sp. RNAcentral's name for it is "large subunit ribosomal RNA". It matches the Rfam family "Bacterial large subunit ribosomal RNA". The record is from RNAcentral. Lineage: Eukaryota; Fungi; Ascomycota; Leotiomycetes.